This is an RNA transcript of Carlito syrichta (Philippine tarsier), 882 nucleotides long. It is a transcript of the gene named keratin, type I cytoskeletal 18 pseudogene, with no coding region annotated. The record is from RefSeq and is a predicted model, not a curated record. The transcript has a single exon. Lineage: Eukaryota; Metazoa; Chordata; Mammalia; Primates; Tarsiidae.
AUGAUGUUUACAACUUCUGUGGACAAUGCCCACAUUGUUCUGCAGAAUGACAAUGCCUGUCUUGCUGCUGAUGACUUUGAGUCAAGUAUGAGACAGAGCUGGCCACGUGCCAGUCCAUGAAGAGCGACAUCAAUGGGCUUGCAAGGUCACUGAGGACACCAGUGUCACCCGGCUGCAGCUGGAGACAGAGAUCGAGGCUCUCAAGGAGGAGCUGCUCUUCCUGAAGAAGAACCACGAGGAGGAAGUAAAAGGCCUACAAGCCCAGAUUGCCAGCUCUGGGUUGACCGUGGAGGUAGAUGCCCUCAAAUCUCAGGACCUCAAUAAGAUCAUGGCAGAUAUCUGGGCCCAGUUGGACGAACUGGUCCAGAAGAACCGAGAGGAACUAGACAAGUAGUGGUCCCAGAAGAUUAAGGAGAGCACCAUGGUGGUCACCACGCAGUUUGCUGAGAUUGAACCUGCCAAGGUAACACUCAUGGAGCUCAGACUUACAGGGUAGGGUAGUCCCUGAAGAUCAACCUGGACUCCUUGAGAAACCUGAAGGCCAGCUUGGAGAACAGCCCGGGGGAGGUGAAGGCCCACUGUGCCAUGCAGAUGGUGCAGCUCAACAGUGCCCCGCUGCACCUGGAGUCUGAGCUGCCACAGACGCAGACAGAGGGCCAGUGCCAGACCCAGGAGUACGAGGCCCUGCUGAUCAUCAAGGUCAACCUGGAGACUAAGAUUGCCACCCACCGCCACCUGCUGGAGGACAGGGAGGACUUCAGUCUCUGUGAUGUCCUGGACAGCAGCAGCUCCAUUUAGACCACCCAAAAGACCACCACCCACAGGAUAGUGAACUGCAAAUUGGUGUCUGAGACCAAUAACAACAAAGUUAUGAGGUGUUGA